RNAcentral lists this ribosomal RNA (681 nucleotides) under Triticum aestivum (bread wheat). RNAcentral describes it as "partial small subunit ribosomal RNA". The record is from RNAcentral. Lineage: Eukaryota; Viridiplantae; Streptophyta; Magnoliopsida; Poales; Poaceae.
GUUCCAAACCUGGCAGAGUAUAGGAUUUCUUUAAACACAGAUAUAAAACUGGAUCAGCGAAGGUACAAUGCUCCUACAACUUCUCAGGUGGCUACGAUGUGGGUUGAAGGGAGUGACCCACAGAACACCUUUGAUAGAAGUGUUAUUGUGUAUGGAAAAGGGGAUCGUCCUGUAUAUAUCAGAGCAUACUAUGGAUGCUAUGAUCCUUUGGCGUAUCCAUUAUUUUUUCCCCGCGGGGAAACAGGAUGGAACCGUUUCAUGCCGUAUGAUGGACUAGCUACUGUUCAAACAAACCGCGAGGAUGACACCGGUGAGGUACCACCUUCUCUUCCUCAGGCCAACGAGGAUGAACACAUGAUGAAGGAUGUGAGGUUCCAGCAGGUAAUUAUAGGGUUGUUCCAUCUUGUAGAUGACAACGAGAGCCAGGAUGAAGAUGGGGUUGUGGAGUCCAGGAAAUUUGUCAGCGCACGCGAGUACUAUUGUUUCAAGCUACAAGUUAGGAAAGGACUUUUUAACAUCAUAUUGUUCGGUCAUCGCCUUCUCCAGCAGUGGGCUGUUGAUAUGUACAUAAAGAUGGAGACUAUGAGGCUUGAUUUCUAUUCAAAACCUCAGAAUCAGAAGCUCAUACGCGCCGAACUCUACCAGGUAAUGUUUGCCAUUGUGCUAUCAACAAUGACUUGA